UUUUGACCUCAGUUCAGACAAGGCUACCCGCCGAAUUUAAGCAUAUUACUAAGCGGAGGAAAAGAAAAUAACAAUGAUUCCCCUAGUAACGGCGAGCGAACCGGGAAGAGCCCAACUUGGAAAUCUGGAGGCUUGUCCUUCCGAAUUGUAGUCUAGAGUAGUGCCAUCUGCGGCUGGCCGGUCCCAAGUUCCCUGGAAAGGGACGUCAGAGAGGGUGAGAGCCCCGUCGAGGCCGGUUUAGUCGUUCCACGAUGCGCUUACAAGGAGUCGGGUUGUUUGGGAAUGCAGCCCUAAGCGGGAGGUAAAUUCCUCCUAAGGCUAAAUAUUGGCGAGAGACCGAUAGCGAACAAGUACCGCGAGGGAAAGAUGAAAAGACCUUUGAAAAGAGAGUUAAAAAGUACCUGAAAUUGUUGAGGGGGAAGCGAUUAAAACCAGCGGGUGCUCCCUAGGUAGGCUUUGCCACACGCUAGGGGCUGGUCAACGUGGGUUAGUCGGGGGGGACAUUACUCCUGACUGACCGAGGACUCGACGUUGGCGGAAUGGUUUUAAUCGGCCCGUCUAGAAACACGGACCAAGGAGUCUAA
This 584-nucleotide ribosomal RNA is filed under the name uncultured Micromonas. RNAcentral describes it as "eukaryotic LSU rRNA". It matches the Rfam family "Eukaryotic large subunit ribosomal RNA", at positions 1 to 678 of the family's 3401-position model. The record is from RNAcentral. Lineage: Eukaryota; Viridiplantae; Chlorophyta; Mamiellophyceae; Mamiellales.